Molecule: non-coding RNA, 499 nt
Organism: Pelobates cultripes (western spadefoot toad)
Lineage: Eukaryota; Metazoa; Chordata; Amphibia; Anura; Pelobatidae
Source: the annotation of a GenBank genome assembly
AGUCACAGUCAGGGGAGGUGUGACUAGGGCUGCAUAAACAAAAUAAUUUUACUCCUAAAUGGCAGAGAAUUGAGAGACGAGGUUGCAGAGGCAUGACCAGAACCAGAACCAACCCACUAAGAUAAAGUAACUGGUGCUUAGAGUGUCCCUUAAGUCAAAACAGAAAGCCUUUAUGAGAAUAUAAACUCGAUAACAAAUGAGAGUUUGUCUCUAAUCAGUGGUUUGUGGUAAAUAUCAAGCUGAUUUGGGAUACAAAUGGGGGUUAGAUGAAAAUUGAGAAGCAAUAAGAAAAGAUGUAUAUGGGGGAGUGACAGAAAGUGGUACAUGAAGGGUGGUUGUGAAGAAGACAAAAAAAGAGGUAGACGAAGAGAUGAAGCUAAAGAGAUGGAUAUAUAAAGGGAUGAGGAGAGGGGUCGAGAUGGGGUGAUGAAGGACAGGAUAAAUUAAGUUGCACUGGAAGGUGGAGAUAGAACGUUGGUGGACAGAAGGCCACGUUAUC